ACCGUAAAAACCCGCAAAACCACAAAGGCCAACAAGCCUGCUGCUCUCGCGGCUUAAUGACCGCGACCUCGCCCGGUAGCCCUGCCGGGGGCUCACCGGAAGCGGGGACACAAACCCGGCUAGCCUGGGGCCACGCCCCCUAACCCCAGGCGAAGCGCAAGGGGGCUCGCCCCUGGCCGCCCGUCCGCGGGCCAAGCCAGGGGGACACCCAAAACGCGGACUACGCGCGU
Non-coding RNA from Thermus aquaticus Y51MC23, 230 nucleotides. The record is from Rfam. Lineage: Bacteria; Thermotogati; Deinococcota; Deinococci; Thermales; Thermaceae.